AGAAUGAACGUUGGCGGCGUGGAUUAGGCAUGCAAGUCGAACGGGCCUGGUAGCAAUAUCAGGUCAGUGGCGUAAGGGUGAGUAAGGCGACGGCAACCAACCCCAUGGUUGGGCAUAGCCGCGGGAAACUGCGGGUAAUUCCCAGCGAUGUUCGUACCGGGCAUCCGGUGUGAACCAAAGUUCUGGCGCCGUGGGACGGGCCGUCGUGGUAUUAGGUUGUUGGCGGGGUAAUGGCCCACCAAGCCUCUGAUGCCUACCGGGCGUGCGAGCGUGGCCCGGCACACUGGGACUGAGACACUGCCCAGACUCCUACGGGAGGCUGCAGUCGAGAAUCUUCGGCAAUGGGCGCAAGCCUGACCGAGCGACGCCGCGUGGAGGAUGGAAGGCCUUCGGGUUGUAAACUCCUGGUCGGAGGGGGAGGAAGGCGCAAGCUUGACCUAUCCCGUGGAGGAAGCGACGGGCUAAGUUCGUGCCAGCAGCCGC
Molecule: ribosomal RNA, 483 nt
Filed under: uncultured bacterium
Lineage: Bacteria
Description: SSU rRNA
Rfam family: Bacterial small subunit ribosomal RNA
Source: RNAcentral